RNAcentral lists this ribosomal RNA (232 nucleotides) under uncultured bacterium. RNAcentral's name for it is "partial 16S ribosomal RNA". It matches the Rfam family "Bacterial small subunit ribosomal RNA", at positions 100 to 334 of the family's 1533-position model. The record is from RNAcentral.
CGGGACGGGUGAGUAAUGUCUGGGAAACUGCCUGAUGAGGGGGAUAACUACUGGAAACGGUAGCUAAUACCGCAUAACGUCGCAAGACCAAAGAGGGGGACCUUCGGGCCUCUUGCCAUCGGAUGUGCCCAGAUGGGAUUAGCUAGUAGGUGGGGUAACGACUCACCUAGGCGACGAUCCCUAGCUGGUCUGAGAGGAUGACCAGCCACACUGGAACUGAGACACGGUCCAG